Long non-coding RNA from Pseudopipra pipra, 651 nucleotides. RefSeq lists it as uncharacterized. The record is from RefSeq and is a predicted model, not a curated record. The transcript is spliced from 2 exons. NCBI's taxonomy places the organism in Eukaryota, Metazoa, Chordata, Aves, Passeriformes, Pipridae.
GCUGUCACUGGGGCCAUCACCAGCUUGUUGCACAAGCAGCUGUGCAAGCUGUCACUAGGGGCAUCCACAGAGAGCCCCAGCCCUACCACAGUCAGACUCGGACAAAUGGACCAUGUCUGCAGCAACCAUGCUCUUCCUUUUCCUGCUGGCCCUCCAGCCUGGCCUGAAGCAGGAUCACCAGAUGGAUGUGGCUACAGCCAAGGACAUGCUGGAGCGUGAAGUGCAUCUGCGUCAGGAGAUGAUCCGUCUGCUGCAGGAGAUGGAGGAGAGGAAGAAGGAAGCCACGUUCCUUUCUACAUUGCAGCAGCAGUGGCCGUGUUGGAUCACUGCAGUGACCCUGGCCCUGCUCACUGUGGUCUGGUGUCACAACAGGCAAAGGAAGCCUCAGGAGUCUCCUCAGACAUUCAGAGCCUGCUGCUCUGAUCUCCCACCAGACGUCUCUGAGAUUGAAAUCAGGCUGAUACUUAGCGAUCACGAUGAUUCCGGAAGCUGAAGCAAGAAGGCCUCAUCAACAGUCCCUAGUCUAUGAAUGUUUGAAUCAUUUGUGCACCUUUACAAGAUCAAAUAGAUCUAUGCAGAUCCAGAAGGCACUGAUAAAUCUGCCAAUAGACUCCUCUCUUUGGAAUAAUAUAAUAUAUUAUAAUAUAAUAU